RNAcentral lists this ribosomal RNA (253 nucleotides) under uncultured bacterium. RNAcentral describes it as "partial 16S ribosomal RNA". It matches the Rfam family "Bacterial small subunit ribosomal RNA", at positions 524 to 776 of the family's 1533-position model. The record is from RNAcentral.
GACAGAGGUGGCAAGCGUUGUUCGGAUUCAUUGGGUGUAAAGGGCAGGUAGGUGGCCCGGCAAGUCUGGCGUGAAAUCCCACGGCUCAACCGUGGAACUGCGCUGGAAACUGCAGGGCUUGAGUGUCGGAGAGGUAAGGGGAAUUCCCGGUGUAAGGGUGAAAUCUGUAGAUAUCGGGAGGAACACCAGUGGCGAAGGCGCCUUACUGGCCGGCAACUGACACUGAGCUGCGAAAGCAAGGGGAGCAAACAGG